GGCGAACGGGUGAGUAACACGUGGGUAACCUGCCCCCAUCUCUGGGAUAACCGUUGGAAACGGCGGCUAAUACCGGAUACGACCUGGCUCCGCAUGGUGCUGGGUGGAAAGUUUUUGCGGUUGGGGAGGGGCCCGCGGCCUAUCAGCUUGUUGGUGCGGUAGUGGCGCACCAAGGCUUUGACGGGUAGCCGGCCUGAGAGGGCGGUCGGUCACAUUGGGACUGAGAUACGGCCCAGACUCCUACGGGAGGCAGCAGUGGGGAAUUUUGCACAAUGGGCGAAAGCCUGAUGCAGCGACGCCGCGUGAGGGAUGACGGCUUUCGGGUUGUAAACCUCUUUUAUCCACCACGAAGGCCCCGUAUUCGCGGGGUUGACGGUAGUGGUUGAAUAAGCGCCGGCUAACUACGUGCCAGCAGCCGCGGUAAGACGUAGGGCGCGAGCGUUGUCCGGAUUUAUUGGGCGUAAAGGGCUCGUAGGCGGUUGAUUGCGUCCGUCGUGAAAGGCCUCGGCUUAACCGGGGUUUUGCGGUGGAUACGGGUCGACUUGAGGCAAUUAGGGGAGAUCGGAAUUCUACGUGUAGCGGUGAAAUGCGCAGAUAUGUGGAGGAACACCGGUGGCGAAGGCGGAUCUCUGGGAUUGUUCUGACGCUGAGGAGCGAAAGCGUGGGGAGCGAACAGGAUUAGAUACCCUGGUAGUCC
RNAcentral lists this ribosomal RNA (697 nucleotides) under uncultured bacterium. Its description in RNAcentral is "bacterial SSU rRNA". It matches the Rfam family "Bacterial small subunit ribosomal RNA", at positions 97 to 796 of the family's 1533-position model. The record is from RNAcentral.